GCGCGGGUGGCGAAAUUGGUAGACGCACCAGGUUUAGGUCCUGACGCCCUUCAAAGGCGUGCCGGUUCGAGUCCGGCCCCGCGCACCA
RNAcentral lists this transfer RNA (88 nucleotides) under Rubrivivax sp. RNAcentral's name for it is "tRNA-Leu". It matches the Rfam family "tRNA". Rfam says of the family: Transfer RNA (tRNA) molecules are approximately 80 nucleotides in length. Their secondary structure includes four short double-helical elements and three loops (D, anti-codon, and T loops). Further hydrogen bonds mediate the characteristic L-shaped molecular structure. tRNAs have two regions of fundamental functional importance: the anti-codon, which is responsible for specific mRNA codon recognition, and the 3' end, to which the tRNAs corresponding amino acid is attached (by aminoacyl-tRNA synthetases). tRNAs cope with the degeneracy of the genetic code in two manners: having more than one tRNA (with a specific anti-codon) for a particular amino acid; and 'wobble' base-pairing, i.e. permitting non-standard base-pairing at the 3rd anti-codon position. The record is from RNAcentral. Lineage: Bacteria; Pseudomonadati; Pseudomonadota; Betaproteobacteria; Burkholderiales; Sphaerotilaceae.